This 339-nucleotide ribosomal RNA is filed under the name Kneallhazia solenopsae. Its description in RNAcentral is "partial contains small subunit ribosomal RNA, internal transcribed spacer and large subunit ribosomal RNA". The stretch from base 1 to 148 matches the Rfam family "Microsporidia small subunit ribosomal RNA". The record is from RNAcentral. Lineage: Eukaryota; Fungi; Microsporidia; Tubulinosematidae.
CCCUGUUCUUUGCACACACCGCCCGUCGCUAUCUGAGAUGGAUGACUUUAUAAAGAUGCUGCUGUGAAGAGGCAUUUGUGUAAGGUCAACUAGAUUAGAUAUAAGUCGUAACAAGGCAGCGGUAGAAGAAUCUGCCGCUAGAUCAUACUAGAUAUUUUUUCUUUAUAUAAGAAUUAUUAUUAUAUACUGCUCCUGAAGGAUGUCUCGGGUUCGUUGCGCGGAAGGACGCARAGGUGUGCGAUAGCGAGGCUGAAUAUUCAGCAGCCUCAUUUCCGAAAGAUUACACCCUCAACUUAAGCAUAUCAAUAGGGGUUGGAGAAGAAAUAAACGUAGAUUCCC